UGGGUUGUGGCUCAGUGGUGGAGUGCUUGCCUCGCACGUGUGAGACCCUGGAUUUGAUCUUCAGCACCACAU
Molecule: transfer RNA, 72 nt
Filed under: Marmota monax (woodchuck)
Lineage: Eukaryota; Metazoa; Chordata; Mammalia; Rodentia; Sciuridae
Description: tRNA.Ala
Source: RNAcentral